RNAcentral lists this ribosomal RNA (562 nucleotides) under Deinococcus grandis. RNAcentral describes it as "bacterial SSU rRNA". It matches the Rfam family "Bacterial small subunit ribosomal RNA", at positions 335 to 901 of the family's 1533-position model. Lineage: Bacteria; Thermotogati; Deinococcota; Deinococci; Deinococcales; Deinococcaceae. The record is from RNAcentral.
ACUCCUACGGGAGGCAGCAGUUAGGAAUCUUCCACAAUGGGCGAAAGCCUGAUGGAGCGACGCCGCGUGAGGGAUGAAGGUCUUCGGAUCGUAAACCUCUGAAUCAGGGACGAAAGACGCUUUAUGCGGGAUGACGGUACCUGAGUAAUAGCACCGGCUAACUCCGUGCCAGCAGCCGCGGUAAUACGGAGGGUGCAAGCGUUACCCGGAAUCACUGGGCGUAAAGGGCGUGUAGGCGGACACUUAAGUCUGGUUUUAGAGACUGCGGCUCAUCCGCAGGGAUGGACUGGAUACUGGGUGUCUUGACCUCUGGAGAGAGAACUGGAAUUCCUGGGGUAGCGAUCGAAUGAGUCAUACCAGGAGCAACACCAAUGGCGCAAGCCAGGUUCCUGGACAGAAAGGUGACGCUGAGACGCUGAAAGUAUGGGGAGCGAACCGGAUUAGAUACCCGAGUAGUCCCACAUCAUAAACGAUGUACGUCGCCUAACCGCAGGAUGCAGUGGUUGGCGAAGCUAACGCGAUAAACGUACCGCCUGGGAAGUACGGCCGCAAGGUUGAAACU